Molecule: non-coding RNA, 1289 nt
Organism: Lolium perenne
Lineage: Eukaryota; Viridiplantae; Streptophyta; Magnoliopsida; Poales; Poaceae
Source: RefSeq, a predicted model, not a curated record
AUCUCGAUCUGUUAUCGGGAUAUGUUGGGUUGUUGGGAGGUUUUCACAUGAUAUAUCAUUUGUUGGAGAUACACAUGCUUUACUUAAUUGUUAACAACUAAAAUUGUAAGCAGAGGCAUCUGUGAGCCCCUUUGCGAAAGCAUCGGAAUUUUGACUCGCUAAUGUCCCCUAGGACCCGAGUUCUUGUUAUCUGUUCCGAGAUUGAGCGCUCUACCCGUACGUGGGGGAAUGGGACCCCCAUCACCCACUACCUUUCCUCGAGUCUGUUUAUUGGGAGCCACAACCUUGGUUUUAUUUGCUCAUAUGCACGAUGCAUGAUUUACUUCUUGUUGCCUUCGGGUGUUUAUUUCUGUACUGUACUCAUAUUGCGGAUAGACUUAUCCUGUGCCUGGUCGUUAGUGCCCGCCUGGACUAUGUCGCAAACCUCUGGGUCCGUAUCGGAGUACGGCCGAACUUCGUCACGGGUAGCUUAGUUGGGUGGCUCCCAUUAAACUUUCUCUUGCAUUGGGAACGGUCUUGUUGUGAGACUCCACCUGUAGUAAGUGGGUUCGAGCAUGCGUAUGGUUACAUUUGGGCAACCCCUGCAGGGUGUACAUCUUAUCGAUAAGCCGUGUCCGCGGUUAUGGACGACUUGGAAUUGUAUGGCUUGAUCAUAGAACAACUUACACCUUUAUGUUGUUGAUAAUAAUCUGCUAAUAACUUGAUUAGUAAUAUAGCAUUACUACAACCGAUACCUAAUAAAACUUGUCCACCGUUGAGUGCCUUUUACAUUGCCUCUUCGCAAUUGUUGAAGGGGAUAUGUGUAAUCGGCUGGGUUAUGUUUGUGUAGUAUUUAUCUGUUACCUUGUGCGCUCUCUUAUCUUCUCUGAGUAGACGGAUGUUGUAGCGUGUCUCUAUUGGAUAGUAGCUUUGCUGCCGCUAAACUCCACAUAUAGCCGGGUGAAGUUUAUACCGCCCACCAGCGAGCAUAGCUGGUCUUGUCUCGCAAGUACGUGCCAAUGGUACUUACCCUCGCCUUCCUUUCUUUUUGUCUCCUCCCCCUUUUGUCGGCAACCGAUGGCCCGAUUUUGACAGGUACGAGAUGACGACGUUAGCAAGGUUACCCUUCCGGCUUGGCCUGGGCAGGGUUAUGGACGCCACUGGUUAUCUUCAGGACUCUUAGUCCAAUUUGUAUCUUGUCCGUACUCGGACGUAUUUGACUUUCUGUAUGAUUUUGGAUCUUUGUAUUGUAUAUUUGUAUCUUGACUCGUUGGAGUUGUUGUUGUAAUAUAUGUUUCUUGUGGGCUCUA